GUUUAGUUAUCUAAAAUUUAAACACAAAUAGUCACCAGAUCUUCUUUGAAGAGUCAUAAGAAAAGCUACUUUGCUGGGUUAACUCCAGAAUGUCAAAAAACAUUAUAAGCUUACAGAAUUAGUAAAACCAUGAAGUUAAAUUUGUAAAUUAUUUUUCUAAAUGAACCAAUUCUAUAUUCUUUUCCUUUGGAAAAAAACUAGCAUUUUACCACAUCCUGAAACAAGUAUCUAUCCUCACAAAAUGGUUAUAAAUCAGUUUACUUUGGGGAUAUGUUACAAACAAACAAAUCCUGAAACCUUAAAAAUUUAAAGCUAAACUAAAUUGUAAUGAUUCCUUAAUUCAACCUCUUUAGUUCACUACGGUCUCCUCAGUAUACCAAGGCCUAAGUUAAUUCACUUGCUCAGGUUCUCAAACCUCCAAUUGCUAGUUAUUCUUGUAUUCUAAAACGUAAAAACAAAAUUAAAAGAGAAAAAAUAUCGUUUUUUCCAAGAAACUAUUUACUCUUGUGGCCACUUUAAUCACCUCAGCAUCGAACUCACUAUUUAGCCAGAGUCGGAAGGCAACAAAUACUUGAAAAAUGGCAGGUGCCGUGAUGAGAUGCAAUAAAAGGAGCAUCUUUAGUGCCAGUGUCUGGAAACGAAAGGAUGAACUGAACAUGAAAAUGAAAAUCGGCCGGACGCGGUGGCCCACGCCUGUAAUCCCAGCACUUUGGG
Molecule: long non-coding RNA, 714 nt
Filed under: Homo sapiens (human)
Lineage: Eukaryota; Metazoa; Chordata; Mammalia; Primates; Hominidae
Description: HSALNT0297220
Source: RNAcentral